Molecule: non-coding RNA, 101 nt
Organism: Mycena metata
Lineage: Eukaryota; Fungi; Basidiomycota; Agaricomycetes; Agaricales; Mycenaceae
Source: the annotation of a GenBank genome assembly
UCGGACAUGGUGUACGGUACACGCCCUCUCUCGUUAUACUGGAGGGAUCCUUGACAAUACAAGAGGGAAUAUUAUCCGGGGUUCGACUCCCCGUGUUCGAA